Molecule: non-coding RNA, 111 nt
Organism: Ataeniobius toweri
Lineage: Eukaryota; Metazoa; Chordata; Actinopteri; Cyprinodontiformes; Goodeidae
Source: the annotation of a GenBank genome assembly
GUCAGGAUGGCCGAGCGGUCGAAGGCGCCAGACUCAAGGCAUGAUUCCUUCCUUGCUUCAGAGGUUUCUGGCCUCUCAAAGGAGGCGUGGGUUCAAAUCCCACUCCUGACA